This 253-nucleotide ribosomal RNA is filed under the name uncultured bacterium. Its description in RNAcentral is "partial 16S ribosomal RNA". It matches the Rfam family "Bacterial small subunit ribosomal RNA", at positions 524 to 776 of the family's 1533-position model. The record is from RNAcentral.
GACAGAGGGUGCAAACGUUGUUCGGAAUUACUGGGCGUAAAGCGCGUGUAGGCGGUUAUGCAAGUCGGGUGUGAAAGCCCGGAGCUCAACUCCGGAAGUGCAUUCGAUACUGCGUAGCUAGAGUACUGGAGAGGAUGGUGGAACUCUCGGUGUAGAGGUGAAAUUCGUAGAUAUCGAGAAGAACACCGGUGGCGAAGGCGGCCUUCUGGACAGCAACUGACGCUGAGACGCGAAAGCUAGGGGAGCAAACGGG